This 496-nucleotide ribosomal RNA is filed under the name uncultured Burkholderia sp. Its description in RNAcentral is "bacterial SSU rRNA". It matches the Rfam family "Bacterial small subunit ribosomal RNA", at positions 164 to 653 of the family's 1533-position model. Lineage: Bacteria; Pseudomonadati; Pseudomonadota; Betaproteobacteria; Burkholderiales; Burkholderiaceae. The record is from RNAcentral.
UAAUACCGCAUACGAUCUGUGGAUGAAAGCGGGGGCUCCUUCGGGACCUCGCGCUACAGGGGCGGCCGAUGGCAGAUUAGCUAGUUGGUGGGGUAAAGGCCUACCAAGGCGACGAUCUGUAGCUGGUCUGAGAGGACGACCAGCCACACUGGGACUGAGACACGGCCCAGACUCCUACGGGAGGCAGCAGUGGGGAAUUUUGGACAAUGGGCGCAAGCCUGAUCCAGCAAUGCCGCGUGUGUGAAGAAGGCCUUCGGGUUGUAAAGCACUUUUGUCCGGAAAGAAAACCGCUUCUCUAAUACAGAGGUGGGAUGACGGUACCGGAAGAAUAAGCACCGGCUAACUACGUGCCAGCAGCCGCGGUAAUACGUAGGGUGCAAGCGUUAAUCGGAAUUACUGGGCGUAAAGCGUGCGCAGGCGGUUCGCUAAGACCGAUGUGAAAUCCCCGGGCUUAACCUGGGAACUGCAUUGGUGACUGGCGGGCUAGAGUAUGGCA